GGUUUCUCCAUGUCGGUCAGGCUAGUCUUGAACUCCCAACCUCAGGUGAUCUGCCUGGCUCAACCUCCCAAAGUGCUGGGAUUAUAGGCAUGAGCCACCAAACCUGGCCUGAAAUAUUUUUAAUGUGUAGAUUCUUAAUUUUACUACCCGGUGCUACUGAAUCAAAAAUUGGUGUUGGCAAUUAGAUUUUAAGGUGUGGGCAACAAUGUUUUAUGCCACUAAAUUUCUGGAACUACCAUUAAUCUAGAGUGAAGGACAUAGAUCAGCUCAGAAAUGUGGGAAGUUCAGGUCAAGAUAAAACAUCUACAUGAGGUUCCGCUUCCCCUUGUCAUAGGCUCCCUCCCUUCCCCUCCCUGGUGGUCACAGGGCUCCCCACAGCUGGGCCUAGCAGUAGCAGCAACUGCUCCCACGGGUGUCUCUUCCUGCCCUGCCCUGCUUCCCCUUCCCUCCUCUCCCCUCCUUGCACCUGGCGCUGGCCUAGAAUGGCUCCUAGAAUGGCUCCGCAAGGCACCCCCGCCCCAAGCUCCAACCAAGGUGCCUCACUGGGGUGGAGACCUUGGCUCACCUAUGGCUAUUUCACAAUUCUGAAUUGUGUCUGAUAACGGAGAAAUGGAAGACAAGCCUCCAGCACCUCCUGUGGGAAUGAGCAGUACCAUUUUUAGCACUGGAGGCAAAGAUCCUUUGUCAGCCAAUCAUAGUUUGAAACCUUUGCCCUCUGUUCCAGAGGAGAAAAAGCCCAGGAAUAAAAUCAUCUCCAUAUUCUCAGGCAAAGAAACAGAAGUAAAAAGAAAGAAAAGGAAUGGCCAGACAUUUCUCCUCCAUCUGAUUUUGAACACACUAUCCAUGUUGGCUUUGAUGCUGUUACAGGAGAAUUCACUGGCAUGCCAGAACAGUGGGCUUGAUUACUACAGACCUCCAAUAUCACCAAACUAGAGCAAAAGAAGAAUCCUCAGGCUGUGCUGGAUGUCUCAAAGUUCUACGGCUCCAACACAGUGAAGCAGCAAAAAUAUCUGAGCUUUACUCCUCCUGAGAAAAAUGGCUUCCCUUCUGCAACACCACCACUGAAUGCCAAGGGACCAGAAACAUCAGCAGUAGUGACAGAGGAAGAUGAUGAUGAUGAUGAAGAAACCGCUCCUCCUGUUACUGCCCCAGGACCAGAUCAUACAAAAUCAAUUUACACAUGGUCUGUAAUUGACCGUUUCUGCACCAGUUGGUGAUUCAAACGUUGAUGGUGGUGCCAGGUCUUCAGACAAACAGAAAAAGAAGACUAAGAUGACAGAUGAAGAGAUUAUGGAGAAAUUCAGAACUACUUUGAGCAUAGGUGACCCUAAGAAACAAUACACAAGAUAUGCAAAAAUUGGUCAAGGGACUUCUGGUACAUUUUCACUGCUACUGAUGCAUUGGGAGAGGAGGUUGCAUCAAACAGAUUUACAGAAACAGCCAAAGAAGGAAUUGAUCAUUAACGAUAUUCUGGUGAUGAAAGAAUUAAAAAAUCCCAACAUAUUUAACUUCUUGGACAAUUACCUGGUAGGAGAUUAAUUGUUUGUGGUAAUGGGAGUAACUUGCUGGUGGAUCACUUACUGUCGUUGUAUCAGAAACCUGUAUGGAUGAAGCACAGAUUGCUGCUGUAUGCAGAGAGUGUUUCAGGCACUGGGGUUUUUACAUGCUAAUCAAGUGAUCCACAGAGACAUCAAAAGUGACAAUGUACUUUUGGGAAUGGAAGGAUCAGUUGCUUACUGACUUUGGUUUCUGUGCCCAGAUGACCCCAGAGCAAAGCAAUGGCAGUACCAUGGUCAGAACACUAUACUGGAUAGAACCAGAGGUGGUUACGCAGAAAGCUUAUGGCCGUAAUGUUGACAUAUGGUCUCUGGGUAUCAUGGCUAUUAAGAUGGUAGACGGAGAGCCUCCAUACCUUAGAGAAAAUCUCUUGAGGACCUUUUACCUAAUAGCAACUAAUGGAAUCCCAGAACUUCAGAAUCCAGAGAAACUUUCCCCAAUAUUCCAGGACUUCUUAAAUCAAUGUUUGGAAAUGGAUGUGGAAAAAAGGGGUUCAGCCAAAGAAUUAUUACGGCCGCCUUUCCUGAAACUGGCCAAACCACUAUCUAGCUUGACACCACAUCAUGGCAGCUCAAGAAGCAAUGAAGAGUAACUGUCAACAUCACUGCUGUGGCCUCAUAUUCUUUUUCCCACUUUCUAAAAAAAGUAUUUUCGUAUAUGAAAAUUAUUACUUUUGGGGGUUUAAAGAAAUGGUCUGCAUAACCUGGAUGAAAGAAGGAAAUGACUAUUCUCUGAAGACAACAAAGAGAAAAUUGCAAAAAUGAAAUUAUGAUUUUCAUAUGAACCCCUUCUUGAGGGUCCAAAAGGAACUGUGGACUGAAUCACCAGCCUUAGGUCUUUCAGCAAACAGCCUAACAGAGCCAUUUAUCAAGACUGAGAUUUGCAUUUUACUUUCCAGACUUUAAUGUACUAGAUCCCAUUAAUUGUCCCCUUGGGGGUAUUUCCAAUACUUGAAUGGCAGAUUUGAGUUUUUCAGAGUAUGUUUCAUCUGAGUCUUUCUCUCCUUCAUAGCUUUCCUUUCCUUACUUCCACCUUUUAAGUUGCUGUUGAGUUUCUCAUGCCUAGGCAAGUGUAACAGAAAUUACGUAGCUCCUUAUGCUGGCAAAGGAGCUCUAUAUAGUUUCACUUUGUACAAAAGUUAGGACUAGCUGUUGUUACAUGUAAUAUUUUAGUUCAGAACUUGACCUGAAGGAAGGGAAGAAAAGUAUGUGACUUUUACCUUUUUUAACAAAUGUGAAAAAGUCAUUUUAGUAAUUUUGUGGUCAUAAGUUUGGCAUUUGUUACAUGUAUAGAGAGAAGACUAGUAAUCUAUAUUUAUAACUAAAUCAUUGAGAUAAAAAAAGAUUCCAAUUGACUACAGAAAUCUUCCAAUUUGGUCUUCCCUUCUGCCUGUUUUCUCUUCAGGUUUGGCUCUAGGAACCAAAGUGAUUUGUUCUUGUUCCAACCUGGCUUUAUGACUUUGGUUAGUGCCACUACCUUCCUCUUCUCUCCUUUUUUUCCCCUUCAUUUUGGAAAUAAGUUUCUGUAUAUGUUGCAAUUUUAGAUUUAGGUAUGUUUUUUUUUUUCAUUAACCCUCUCUCACCUCACACAUACCUCCCUCCUGUGGCAAAUAAUAUAAUAACCAGUGAAUUUUCAGAAUUUAAAACUAGCUUUUUUUUUUUUUUUCAUUUAAAGGAGAAAAACAUUUGGAACUAGCAGAGGCAGAGUGUGAGACAUGAACCUUGUCGAGCUCUGAUAUAGUGAGACCAGAUUAUAUUCAUGAAAGAGAAAUGUUAGCGUGUUAUAGAGAAGCAGCUGAUAACCAAUCAACCGCAGACACUUGUUGGAAGUCUCAUUGUCCAAGGUCAUUACCAGUGCUUUAUUAUCUAUGAGAACUUAAGUGACAGAGUAUUUCUUGGUGAAUUUAUAGAUCAUUUGAGAUGUUGAGUUACUUUAGUGUUUUUUUUUUUCAAAUAAGCAGAGGAUAUUAAUGUAAAAAACUGGAGAAAGAAAAAUGACAUGUGUGUUGAUAGCAAUAAUUUUUUCGUUUAAAGAUUCUAAAAGGUCUGAGACCUGUAGCAUUAAUUAUUUGAGUGCCCUCUCUUUUCUCCUCCCUUCCCAUCCCCUCUCUUUCUCUUCUCUUUCUUCCUCUCCUUCUCUCCUUUAUUCAUUGUUUUGCUUUUAGAGUAGGUAUUGUUCACUUAUCUGUGUUUUGGUUCUGGCAUUUGUUCCCACCAUCCCCUUCCCCUCAAUAACUUCACCCCUGCUUGCCGCCCUGCAGUAGUACAAAUCAUGAAUAAAAAUAAUUUUGCUGUUGUAGU
This is a non-coding RNA of Callithrix jacchus (white-tufted-ear marmoset), 3857 nucleotides long. Lineage: Eukaryota; Metazoa; Chordata; Mammalia; Primates; Cebidae. The record is from RefSeq and is a predicted model, not a curated record.